UGGCAGCAGGAACCGCCGCUGGGACCUUGCUUGGCUCUGCUUGGCUGCGUAUUAAAGUUUGAGCGUGAUGCAAUGUUUGCCCUUUGUUUUAUGAGGUUUGGGAAGCAGGGAUAGCGCUCGGCUUGGGCAGCAGGGCUGCACGAAGCUGCCCUCGUGCUUGGAGCUGCUGGCGAGAACAGAGAUCAGAUGAACGUCUGCAGCAGCGCCCUGGUGCUCACUGCCUCACUCCAUGGCAGCACACGGCUUGGCAGAAAAAGGAUGGAGGAGACUGCAGAGCCCCCCUCCCUGUGCAAACCACCAGCGCAAUAAUCCUUCCCUCUGGGCCGCACCUGAGACCAAACUCUGCAUUCAUUCUGCUGCUGCAUCCACCUCUGCUCCACUGAGGGCCACAGGUGGUGGGAAUACAAGUGCCGGUGUAUCUGCCAUCUCCUGCCUGCACCUUCCCAUCCUGCUCCUGCAUUGCACAGCGCUGCACAGCCCGGGGAGCCGCAAUGCUGCUGUGCUGGGGCUCAGCUCGGGCUGCAGCCCGCGCAGCGUUUGAUGCAGCAGCGCUCGCUGCCCACUCCAGCGCAUCCCCACGAGGGGGCAGGGCAGCCCCACGCUGCAGCCGUAGCCCCGGCCGUCCCCAAAGCAGCCGCCCCUGCAGCCAACGCUGCGGACACAAAGAGGGGGACGCCCCCUCUGCCCGACCCCCAUCCUGGGGAGCAGCCCAUGCGCUCCGCCGUAUCCCCAGGCCGGCUGCCACCCCCCCCCCCAGCACAAGGCCCCAAAGGGUCCCGGCCCCGUCCCGGCCUCCCACGCUGGCACCGAGGUUUCCUUGACGCAAGCAGAGCGCAGCCACGCGCCGCUUGUGCCCCACGUUGGCGCAGCCGGGACCCCGCGCUCACAGCUGCCCACGCAAACCACGGCGCUCACGGAGGGGUCGGUUCCCGGAGCUGAGGGAGACGAAUGGGAGACGGGGCCGCUUUAGAGCCUUUAUUUUGGAGUCAAAGCCUGUAGAUACAGCAAUAAAAUAUACAAAAACAUAAAAAUUUGUACGGUUUUGAAUGUGGCCCAGGGGCGCCAUUGACGGCAGCCAGAGGCAGCGACACAUCAGCACAGGGACGAGCAACAGACCUUGUGCCCUCUGAGCGCCCACUGACUGCAGGGGGCCACCGUUCUGCAUCUAUGGGCAGCCCCGAGACCCCUGCCCUGCCCUCACACCGUGUCCGGUGCUGCCCAGGGGCUGCCCCCAGCCCACAGCGAGGGGGCACAGGGGAAUGAUGCUGCCUUUGGCACUGCCUUGACUCUCUGCACAGCUGAUGGACAGGGACCCCCUGCACCACAGCAUUGCUAUGGGUACAAACAGAGCAUCUCUAGCCAGAGCACCAGAACCAUUACAGCCCUGUGCCGGAGCCCAGAAGUUUCUCUGCUGGUGUUACCCACAGCUGCUGGGCCCUGCCCCAUGCUCCCACCUCACUGCAUGGAGAUUCCUGCUGCUCUGGGGAAGCACACGACCCUCACGCUGCCGCUCCCUCCCAUUUUUGCUCAGGGAUGGAACAGAAACCCACGCCUGGAAAGGGCAGGAGGGCUCCCUACACUUGGGUAAAUACC
Molecule: non-coding RNA, 1593 nt
Organism: Coturnix japonica (Japanese quail)
Lineage: Eukaryota; Metazoa; Chordata; Aves; Galliformes; Phasianidae
Source: RefSeq, a predicted model, not a curated record